This 74-nucleotide transfer RNA is filed under the name Rubrivirga sp. SAORIC476. Its description in RNAcentral is "tRNA-Arg". It matches the Rfam family "tRNA". Rfam says of the family: Transfer RNA (tRNA) molecules are approximately 80 nucleotides in length. Their secondary structure includes four short double-helical elements and three loops (D, anti-codon, and T loops). RNAcentral also lists the same sequence under 3 other names. Lineage: Bacteria; Pseudomonadati; Rhodothermota; Rhodothermia; Rhodothermales; Rubricoccaceae. The record is from RNAcentral.
GCGCCCGUAGCUCAGCUGGAUAGAGCGUCGCACUACGGAUGCGAAGGUCAGAGGUUCGAAUCCUCUCGGGCGUA